Molecule: non-coding RNA, 218 nt
Filed under: Bacillus sp. (in: firmicutes)
Lineage: Bacteria; Bacillati; Bacillota; Bacilli; Caryophanales; Bacillaceae
Description: Bacillus sp. T-box sequence
Rfam family: T-box leader
About the family: Uncharged tRNA acts as the effector for transcription antitermination of genes in the T-box leader family. T-boxes are found upstream of many aminoacyl-tRNA synthetase genes and some amino acid biosynthetic genes usually in Gram-positive bacteria.
Source: RNAcentral
AGGAAAGCGAUGAGAGGACUCAGUAGUUAAACUAUCCCUGUUUUAGAGAGCCGGUGGAAGGUGCGAAUCGGUACACAUAGUUUUGAUGAAUUACUUCCUUGAGCAUUUGCUGUGAACGCUAAGUAGCAGUAAACGGUAGACAGCCGUUAACGGUCUUAAGACGGAGGAUGAAGUAUGUCCUCAAGUUGGGUGGUACCGCGAAUAUAUUCGUCCCUUCA